Molecule: ribosomal RNA, 1541 nt
Filed under: groundwater metagenome
Description: bacterial LSU rRNA
Rfam family: Bacterial large subunit ribosomal RNA
Source: RNAcentral
AAAGGAUGUGCGAUGGCUUAGACAACCGGGAUGUUGGCUUAGAGGCAGCCACCAUUUAAAGAGUGCGUAACAGCUCACCGGUCGAUGUCGUCGCGCGCCUACAAUGAUCGGGACUAAACUUGUUACCGACGCCGCGGAUUCUGCACCGCAAGGUGCAGAGUGGUAGGGGAGCGUACUGCAGUAGGAUGAAGGCGGACCGCAAGGACCGCUGGACGAGGCAGUAGUGAGGAUCCUGGUAUGAGUAGCGAAAAUGCCGAUGAGAAUUCGGCACGCCGAAAACCUAAGGGUUCCUGGGGAAGGUUCGUCCGCCCAGGGUUAGGCGAUCCUAAGCUGAGGCCGAAAGGCGUAGGCGAUGGACAGCUGGUUAAUAUUCCAGCCCUUCCUGGCGACGCGCUUGAGUGGCAACGGUAACGCAGGGAGCUAGGUCAUCCCGGGUGUUGGACGUCCCGGGCCAACCCCGUAGUCCGCAAGGAUGAGAGGGGAUGGGGAGCUGCGGGGAAACCCAAAGUAAACGGACUGACGCUGCACUGCCAAGAAAACCCGUUGUCGCGAGGUGUCGUCGGGAAUUCGUACCGCAAUCCGACACAGGUAGGUAAGCAGAACAUGCUAAGGCGCUCGAGAUAACUCUCGCUAAGGAACUCGGCAAAAUGGCCCCGUAACUUCGGAAUAAGGGGUGGUUCAGUGACUGAAGUGGUUUACCCAUGGAGGUUGCUGGACUCACAGUAAAGAGAGCUCUGUGACUGUUUAGUAAAAACCCAUCUCUCUGCUAAGUCGUCAAGACGACGUAUAGGGAGUGACACCUGCCCGGUGCUGGAAGGUUAACGGGAUGCGUCAUGGAAUCGCAAGAUUCCGGAAGCGUUGAACCGAAGCCCCAGUAAACGGCGGCCGUAACUAUAACGGUCCUAAGGUAGCGAAAUUCCUUGUCGGGUAAGUUCCGACCCGCACGAAUGGUGUAACUAUAGAGCUGCUGUCUCAGCGAGAGACUCGGCGAAAUUGUAGUGGCGGUGAAGAUGCCGUCUACCCGCGAGUAGACGAAAAGACCCCAGAACCUUGACUGUACCCUGGUCUGGGAUGUUGGUCCGGCCUGCGUAGCAUAGGUGGGAGACUUUGAGGCAGUGCUCUCGGGCGCUGCGGAGUCGUCAGUGAAAUACCACCCUGAUCGUACGAACGUUCUAACCUGCCCCGUGGAGGGGUGGGGACAGGGCCAGGCGGGUAGUUUGACUGGGGCGGUUUCCUCCCAAAGGAUAACGGAGGAGCACCAAGGUUCCCUCAACGCGGUUGGCAAUCGCGUGUCGAGUGUAAGGGCACAAGGGAGCUUGACUGCGAGUCCGACAGGACGAGCAGGGACGAAAGUCGGUCCUAGUGAUCCGGCGGUGGCUUGUGGGAGCGCCGUCGCUCAUCGAAUAAUAGGUACUCUGGGGAUAACAGGCUUAUCGGGCCCGAGAGUUCACAUCGACGGCCCGGUUUGGCACCUCGAUGUCGGCUCAUCGCAUCCUGGGGGUGGAGAAGCUCCCAAGGGUCCGGCUGUUCGCCGGUUAAAG